GGAAGGAUGGCAGAGUGGUCGAAUGCGGCGGUCUUGAAAACCGCUGAACCAGAGAUGGUUCCGGGGGUUCGAAUCCCUCUCCUUCCGCCA
This 90-nucleotide transfer RNA is filed under the name Opitutia bacterium. RNAcentral's name for it is "tRNA-Ser". It matches the Rfam family "tRNA". From Rfam's summary of the family: Transfer RNA (tRNA) molecules are approximately 80 nucleotides in length. Their secondary structure includes four short double-helical elements and three loops (D, anti-codon, and T loops). Lineage: Bacteria; Pseudomonadati; Verrucomicrobiota; Opitutia. The record is from RNAcentral.